UGAGUAUCUGCUUGGGUACCGGGCAGCCAAUGUGAUCAAGAUGGAUAUUCUGCUGAACAGGAAACUUGUGGAGGAACUCAACCGUUGUUCACAAAGAGAUUGGGCGUACAGUGCAGGCAAUGCUAUGUGCGAGCUCCUGCAUGACACCAGAACCGGACUAAUGUUUGAGAUCACAGUACAAACAGCCAUCGGCAGCAAAGGGAGACCACAGAGAUGAUAACCAGAAAGAUGACGCGCCUGAAGAACCAGGCAGAGUGUAAAAAGAAGAUGCGGUAUGUUGGCACGUGCAAGUCCCCAAAAGAUGUCUUCCUCAGUGUUCUGAAGAGGAAAGACAAGUAGAAUAUCAGUAUCCUUAUUUAUUGAAGCAAGUUUUGGUUCAACAAAUAGACUUUAAAAACAGCAAAAUAACUUUUAAAUGUCCCAUACAUUUAAAAGUUAUGUAUAAUGUAGAUCUCAUUGCCAAGAAAAAUAUAUGACGACAUGCACAGAUUACUCGCUCAAACAGACUUUAAGUGCAAGGUGUAAUACAUCAAUGAACGCUUGUAAAUAAUAAAAC
RNAcentral lists this long non-coding RNA (556 nucleotides) under Oncorhynchus kisutch (coho salmon). Its description in RNAcentral is "lncRNA (ENSOKIG00005004868.1)". The record is from RNAcentral. Lineage: Eukaryota; Metazoa; Chordata; Actinopteri; Salmoniformes; Salmonidae.